CGCCCCCCCCCCCACGAAAUCACAUUUUGUCCCCCCCCCCGGAAAAGUCUCUUUUUCCUAAAUUUAUACAAACAAACCAGCGAAGAAUAACAAAUUGAUAAACGGAACGUACGUUUUAGGCUCUAUCCUUUGUCCUUGUUUAACAAAAUCGAUUUAAAGGACUGUGUCACCGCGUGCGCAUCCUACGUGUUUCUAACACUAAGUAAUGAUAAAUUAUUGUUAAUAUUUUUAAAAUUCUUUGUGCGUUUUUUCCUUCUUUUAUUUCAAAUAGAAGUAUAGUUAGGAUAAAUUUUAGAAAAUUUAGAUGCUCAGACGGCAGGAAAUGGCAUUUUUGGGCUUGAAAUUUCAAAAAUUUUCUGGGGAGUUAAUGCCUCCAGACCCCCCUAUUCAUUCGCGGUAUGUCGGCCACACACGUGACCCACGGCCAUUGCUAUCCCCCUUUAAUAAUAAGUAAUGGAUAAAUUAUUGUUAAUAUUUCUUUUAUUUUUUCUGCAUUUUUUCCUUCUUUUAUUUCAAAUACAAGUAUAAUUAGCAUAAAUUUUAGAGCAAAUUUAGACGCUCAUAAAGCAGGAAAUGGUAUUUGAAAGGUUCAAAUUUAAAACAUUUUCUGGGGGAGUAUGUCGGCCACACACCGUGGCCGUCGGCCAUUGCUAUCCCCCUCUAAUAUAUUAUCUAAAAUCCCUUUUCAAAAAAUACCCCCCCCCGGGAAAAUCCUUAAAAAGGCCCUGUUGUUCUGUAUUUCGGUCUCGGAACUGUCGUAUGUCGUCACGGUAUAAGUUAACUGUGUAGUUCGUAUAUUUGCCUAGCCACAUGUUGUGAUUGAGGCUAUGUGAGGAUUGUAAGUUUAUCACCUAGUACUAUUUUAAGUAGAUGCAGUUAGUGAGUUAGGUUUUGUGCAUGCUCACAGGGUUUUGAAAGCAAACCAUGCCGUGAAAUAUGUGAAGCCUAUGGUUUGUGUCAUGUAUCUAACUAUCUAGGUAGAAUACCUAAAAGUAGAUGUUGUACAAACUACAAAGUUGUGGUUUAUAGAAUCUGGCAGACCUCCCCCGCCCCCUGUCUCCUAUUUCCUCC
Paramuricea clavata is the source of this 1071-nucleotide non-coding RNA. NCBI's taxonomy places the organism in Eukaryota, Metazoa, Cnidaria, Anthozoa, Malacalcyonacea, Plexauridae. The record is from the annotation of a GenBank genome assembly.